Molecule: ribosomal RNA, 422 nt
Filed under: uncultured bacterium
Lineage: Bacteria
Description: partial 16S ribosomal RNA
Rfam family: Bacterial small subunit ribosomal RNA
Source: RNAcentral
AAUUUUGGACAAUGGGGGAAACCCUGAUCCAGCCAUCCCGCGUGUUCGAUGAAGGCCUUCGGGUUGUAAAGCACUUUUGUCAGGGAAGAAAUCGUACAGGCUAAUAUCUUGUGCGGAUGAAGGUACCUGAAGAAUAAGCACCGGCAAACUAAGUUCCAGCAGCCGCGGUAAUACGUAGGGUGCAAGCGUUAAUCGGAAUUCAUGGGAGUAAAGGGUGCGCAGGCGGUUUAUCAAGAAAGGUGUGAAAUCCCCGGGCUUAACCUGGGAAUGGCACUUUUAACUGAUAGGCUAGAGUAUGUCAGAGGGGGGUAGAAUUCCACGUGUAGCAGUGAAAUGCGUAGAGAUGUGGAGGAAUACCGAUGGCGAAGGCAGCCCCCUGGGAUAAUACUGACGCUCAUGCACGAAAGCGUGGGGAGCAAACA